This 253-nucleotide ribosomal RNA is filed under the name uncultured bacterium. Its description in RNAcentral is "partial 16S ribosomal RNA". It matches the Rfam family "Bacterial small subunit ribosomal RNA", at positions 524 to 776 of the family's 1533-position model. The record is from RNAcentral.
UACGAAGGGGGCUAGCGUUGCUCGGAAUUACUGGGCGUAAAGGGCGCGUAGGCGGACAGUUUAGUCAGAGGUGAAAGCCCAGGGCUCAACCUUGGAAUUGCCUUUGAUACUGGCUGUCUUGAGUUCGGGAGAGGUGAGUGGAAUGCCGAGUGUAGAGGUGAAAUUCGUAGAUAUCGGGAGGAACACCAGUGGCGAAGGCGGCUCUCUGGGCAGAUACUGACGCUGAGACGCGAAAGCAUGGGGAGCAAACAGG